UACGAAGGGGGCUAGCGUUGCUCGGAAUCACUGGGCGUAAAGCGCACGUAGGCGGACUCUUAAGUCGGUGGUGAAAUCCUGGAGCUCAACUCCAGAACUGCCUUCGAUACUGGGAGUCUUGAGUUCGGGAGAGGUGAGUGGAACUGCGAGUGUAGAGGUGAAAUUCGUAGAUAUUCGCAAGAACACCAGUGGCGAAGGCGGCUCACUGGCCCGAUACUGACGCUGAGGAGCGAAAGCGUGGGGAGCGAACAGG
RNAcentral lists this ribosomal RNA (253 nucleotides) under uncultured bacterium. RNAcentral describes it as "partial 16S ribosomal RNA". It matches the Rfam family "Bacterial small subunit ribosomal RNA", at positions 524 to 776 of the family's 1533-position model. The record is from RNAcentral.